RNAcentral lists this long non-coding RNA (482 nucleotides) under Mytilus galloprovincialis (Mediterranean mussel). The record is from RNAcentral. Lineage: Eukaryota; Metazoa; Mollusca; Bivalvia; Mytilida; Mytilidae.
AUUUUUAAUUUUAAAAAUUCAAACAAAACUAAAGUUUAUUUUUACAAAGCCCUGGAUCCUUCCUAAAUACGAAGUUUUAUAUCUGACUAUUUCUGUAAGGGAUCAUGAGCAAAGGAUUCCAAACUACACUUGACAUUUUUCAAUCGAAAAUGUAUAAAUAUAAAAAAAAAAGAAGAUGUGGUAUGAUGCCAAUGAGACAGUUCACCACAAGAGACCAAAAUGACACGGAAAUUAACGACUAUAGGUCAUCGCACGGCCUUUAACAAUGAGCAAAGCUCUUAAUUGCAUAGUCAGCUAUUAAAGACCCCAAAAUGACCAUGUAAAACAAUUCAAACAAGAAAACUAACGGCCGUAUUUACAUAAAAAAAAAAAUCAAAAAAUAAAUGAACAAAAAACUUAAAUGUAACACAUAAGCAAACGACAACCACUGAACUACAGGCUCCUAACUUGGGAAAGGCACAAACAUACAUAAUAUGACGGGG